GACGAACGCUGGCGGCGUGCUUAACACAUGCAAGUCGAACGGAAAGGCCCUGCUUUUGUGGGGUGCUCGAGUGGCGAACGGGUGAGUAACACGUGAGUAACCUGCCCUUGACUUUGGGAUAACUUCAGGAAACUGGGGCUAAUACCGGAUAGGAGCUCCUGCUGCAUGGUGGGGGUUGGAAAGUUUCGGCGGUUGGGGAUGGACUCGCGGCUUAUCAGCUUGUUGGUGGGGUAGUGGCUUACCAUGGCUUUGACGGGUAGCCGGCCUGAGAGGGUGACCGGCCACAUUGGGACUGAGAUACGGCCCAGACUCCUACGGGAGGCAGCAGUGGGGAAUAGUGCACAAUGGGCGGAAGCCGGAUGCAGCAACGCCGCGUGCGGGAUGACGGCCUUCGGGUUGUAAACCGCUUUCGCCUGUGACGAAGCGUGAGUGACGGUAAUGGGUAAAGAAGCACCGGCUAACUACGU
This 467-nucleotide ribosomal RNA is filed under the name uncultured bacterium. RNAcentral describes it as "partial 16S ribosomal RNA". It matches the Rfam family "Bacterial small subunit ribosomal RNA", at positions 28 to 506 of the family's 1533-position model. The record is from RNAcentral.